CGUAGUCAACCUGCCCUCGAGCCGAGAAUAAUCUCGGGAAACUGAGGCUAAUGUUCGAUAGAUCAAGAUUCCUGGAAUGGGUUUUGGUCUAAAUGGCGUAACAGCAUCUUGUUAUUGCCGCUCGAGGAUGGGACUGCGGCCCGAUCAGGCUGUUGGUGGGGUAAAGGCCCACCAAACCCAGUAACCGGUACGGGCUUUGAGAGAAGGAGCCCGGAGAUGGACACUGAGACAAGGGUCCAGGUCCUACGGGGCGCAGCAGGCGCGAAACCUUCGCAAUGCGCGCAAGCGCGACGAGGUUAUUCUGAGUGAUUCCCGCUGAGGGAAUCUUUUCUUAGAUCUAAAAAGUCUGGGGAAUAAGGGGAGGGCAAGUCUGGUGUCAGCCGCCGCGGUAAUACCAGCUCCUCGAGUGGUCAGGGCGUUUAUUGGGCCUAAAGCAUCCGUAGCCUGCUCAGUAGGUCUCCUGUUAAAUCCAACGGCUCAACCGUUGGUCUGCAGGAGAUACCGCUGGGCUAGGAGGCGGGAGAGGCGGACGGUACUCCGAGGGUAGGGGUAAAAUCCUUUGAUCCCCGGAAGACCACCAGUGGCGAAGGCGGUCCGCCAGAACGCGCUCGACGGUGAGGGAUGAAAGCUGGGGGAGCGAACCGGAUUAGAUACCCGGGUAGUCCCAGCUGU
This 672-nucleotide ribosomal RNA is filed under the name uncultured archaeon. RNAcentral's name for it is "bacterial SSU rRNA". It matches the Rfam family "Archaeal small subunit ribosomal RNA", at positions 99 to 754 of the family's 1478-position model. The record is from RNAcentral.